UACGUAGGGCGCAAGCGUUGUCCGGAAUUAUUGGGCGUAAAGAGCUCGUAGGCGGUUUGUCACGUCGGAUGUGAAAGCCCGGGGCUUAACCCCGGGUCUGCAUUCGAUACGGGCAGACUGGAGUGUGGUAGGGGAGAUCGGAAUUCCUGGUGUAGCGGUGAAAUGCGCAGAUAUCAGGAGGAACACCGGUGGCGAAGGCGGUUCUCUGGGCCUUACCUGACGCUGAGGAGCGAAAGCGUGGGGAGCGAACAGG
Molecule: ribosomal RNA, 253 nt
Filed under: uncultured bacterium
Lineage: Bacteria
Description: partial 16S ribosomal RNA
Rfam family: Bacterial small subunit ribosomal RNA
Source: RNAcentral